AUUUCUCCAGCUUAGUGCCUCCCUUAGCGAUCUCUCUUCCGCAUGUGGCGGAUUACUCUCUUUUUCGUGCGGAUUAUUUCCCCUCCAUCCGAAUGGAUUACCUUCUACCAUGGAUGCUCCUACUAGCCGGUAUGAUGUAGUAUGGGUGAUCGGUAGUUUCUCAACACUAAGAGAGCUUCCUUCAAAGCAGGUAAAGGUGUUAUCACUCCCAUUUCCCCAGCUUAGUGCCUCAUUUAGCGAUCUCUCUUCCGCAUGUGGCGGAUUAUUCUCUCUUUCAUGCGGAUUAUUUCCCCUCCAGCCGAAUGGGUUACCUUCUUCCGUGGAUGCUCUCUUGGUGUCGAGAAAUCAUUUUUGAUUUUUAAGCCGUCAGCGUUUUCGGAUCGAAAAAUGAUUCUGCAACACCAGUGAGCAUCAAAGGAGGUAGAGGUGUUAUCACUACCAUUUCUCCAGCUUAGUGCUUCGCUUAGCGGUCUCUCUUCCGCAUGUGGCGGAUUAUUCUCUCUUUCAUGCGGAUUAUUUCCCCUCCAUCCGAAUAGGUUAACUUCUACCAUGGAUGCUCCUUCUAGCCGGUAUGAAGUAGUAUGGGUGAUCGGUAGUUUCUCAACACUAAGAGAGCUUCCUUCAAAGCAGGUGGCGGUUAUUCUUUCUUUCAUGCGGAUUAUUUCCCCUCCAUCUGAAUGGAUUACCUUCUACCAUGGAUGCUCCUACUAGCCGGUAUGAAGUAGUAUGGGUGAUCGGUAGUUUCUCAACACUAAGAGAGCUUCCUUCAAAGCAGGUAAAGGUGUUAUCACUCCCAUUUCCCCAGCUUAGUGCCUCAUUUAGCGAUCUCUCUUCCGCAUGUGGCGGAUUAUUCUCUCUUUCAUGCGGAUUAUUUCCCCUCCAGCCGAAUGGGUUACCUUCUUCCGUGGAUGCUCUCUUGGUGUCGAGAAAUCAUUUUUGAUUUUUAAGCCGUCAGCGUUUUCGGAUCGAAAAAUGAUUCUGCAACACCAGUGAGCAUCAAAGGAGGUAGAGGUGUUAUCACUACCAUUUCUCCAGCUUAGUGCUUCGCUUAGCGGUCUCUCUUCCGCAUGUGGCGGAUUAUUCUCUCUUUCAUGCGGAUUAUUUCCCCUCCAUCCGAAUAGGUUAACUUCUACCAUGGAUGCUCCUUCUAGCCGGUAUGAAGUAGUAUGGGUGAUCGGUAGUUUCUCAACACUAAGAGAGCUUCCUUCAAAGCAGGUAAAGGUGUUAUCACUCCCAUUUCCCCAGCUUAGUGCCUCAUUUAGCGAUCUCUCUCCCGCAGGUGGCGGUUAUUCUCUCUUUCAUGCGGAUUAUUUCCCCUCCAGCCGAAUGGGUUAACUUCUACCAUGGAUGCUCCUUCUAGCCGGUAUGAAGUAGUAUGGGUGAUCGGUAGUUUCUCAACACUAAGAGAGCUUCCUUCAAAGCAGGUAAAGGUGUUAUCACUACCAUUUCCCCAGCUUAGUGCCUCAUUUAGCGAUCUCUCUUCCGCAUGUGGCGGAUAAUUCUCUCUUUCAUGCGGAUUAUUUCCCCUCCAUCCGAAUAGGUUAACUUCUACCAUGGAUGCUCCUUCUAGCCGGUAUGAAGUAGUAUGGGUGAUCGGUAGUUUCUCAACACUAAGAGAGCUUCCUUCAAAGCAGGUAAAGGUGUAUCACUCCCAUU
Molecule: long non-coding RNA, 1656 nt
Organism: Anopheles funestus (African malaria mosquito)
Lineage: Eukaryota; Metazoa; Arthropoda; Insecta; Diptera; Culicidae
Exons: 3
Source: RefSeq, a predicted model, not a curated record